AGUGCUCAUGGAUAGACUGCCCUUCGUACAUUUUCAGAUAGAAGAGUCUCUUGGAUACUUCAAAGUGCGCAGUACGGCUCUGCUCACCAUACAACUCUUGUAGGUAUGUGAUCAUGGUCUGAGCAGUGGGUAUAUGCUCAUACUGGCUUUGCAACUCAUUUGACAUAGACGCCAGCACAUAACUCAACAACAGGAUGGUUUGGUAGCACUAUAGGA
Molecule: long non-coding RNA, 216 nt
Filed under: Elaeis guineensis (African oil palm)
Lineage: Eukaryota; Viridiplantae; Streptophyta; Magnoliopsida; Arecales; Arecaceae
Description: long non-coding RNA (EGUI_LNC071647)
Source: RNAcentral